GACGAACGCUGGCGGCGUGCUUAACACAUGCAAGUCGAACGGAAAGGCCCUGCUUGCAGGGUACUCGAGUGGCGAACGGGUGAGUAACACGUGGGUGAUCUGCCCUGCACUUCGGGAUAAGCCUGGGAAACUGGGUCUAGUACCGGAUAGGAGCCAUUCUGAGUGUGUUGGUUGGAAAGUUUUUUCGGUGUAGGGUGAGCUCGCGGCCUAUCAGCUUGUUGGUGGGGUAUUGGCCUACCAAGGCGGCGACGGGUAGCCGGCCUGAGAGGGUGGACGGCCACAGUGGGACUGAGAAACGGACCAGACACCUACGGGAGGCAGAAGUGGGGAAUAUUGCUCAAGGGGCGCAAGCCUGAUGCAGAGACGCCGCGUGGGGGAUGACGGCCUUCGGGUUGGAAAAUCAUUUCGCUAGGGACGAAGCGUUUUGUGACGGUACCUAGAUAAGAAGCACCGGCUAACUACGUG
This 465-nucleotide ribosomal RNA is filed under the name uncultured bacterium. Its description in RNAcentral is "partial 16S ribosomal RNA". It matches the Rfam family "Bacterial small subunit ribosomal RNA", at positions 28 to 507 of the family's 1533-position model. The record is from RNAcentral.